UGGGGGAAUAUUGGACAAUGGGCGCAAGCCUGAUCCAGCAAUGCCGCGUGUGUGAAGAAGGCCUUCGGGUUGUAAAGCACUUUUAUCAGGAGCGAAACGCUGUCGGCUAAUACCCGGCGGAACUGACGGUACCUGAGGAAUAAGCACCGGCUAACUUCGUGCCAGCAGCCGCGGUAAUACGAAGGGUGCAAGCGUUAAUCGGAAUUACUGGGCGUAAAGCGUGCGUAGGCGGUUUCUUAAGUCUGCUGUGAAAUCCCCGGGCUCAACCUGGGAAUGGCAGUGGAUACUGGGAGGCUAGAGUGUGUCAGAGGGUGGUGGAAUUCCCGGUGUAGCGGUGAAAUGCGUAGAGAUCGGGAGGAACAUCAGUGGCGAAGGCGGCCACCUGGGACAACACUGACGCUGAGGCACGAAAGCGUGGGGAGCAAACAGGAUUAGAUACCCUGGUAGUCCACGCCCUAAACGAUGCGAACUGGAUGUUGGUCUCAACUCGGAGAUCAGUGUCGAAGCUAACGCGUUAAGUUCGCCGCCUGGGGAGUACGGUCGCAAGACUGAAACUCAAAUGAAUUGAC
Molecule: ribosomal RNA, 569 nt
Filed under: uncultured bacterium
Lineage: Bacteria
Description: partial 16S ribosomal RNA
Rfam family: Bacterial small subunit ribosomal RNA
Source: RNAcentral